GGAGGUGUAGCUCAGUGGAAGAGCAUAGGACUGCAGAUCCCAAGUUCAAACCUGGGCACUUCCA
RNAcentral lists this transfer RNA (64 nucleotides) under Takifugu rubripes (torafugu). It matches the Rfam family "tRNA". From Rfam's summary of the family: Transfer RNA (tRNA) molecules are approximately 80 nucleotides in length. Their secondary structure includes four short double-helical elements and three loops (D, anti-codon, and T loops). RNAcentral also lists the same sequence under 2 other names. Lineage: Eukaryota; Metazoa; Chordata; Actinopteri; Tetraodontiformes; Tetraodontidae. The record is from Rfam by way of RNAcentral.